GUCAGUGUUGAUCAGUGGCUGUUCAGACCUUUCAGAGACACUGAACACACCAGCAGCACAAUGAUGAUGUCACUGACUCUACUGCUGACCACCCUGGGGCUCCUUGUUCAGGGUUCAUCAGGUGAAAUCAUCCUGACUCAGACUCCUCGAUCUCAGUCUGUUGCUCCUGGACAGACUGUUUCCAUCAAAUGUAAAGCCAGUUCCAACAUGGGCACCUACCUUCACUGGUACCUUCAAAAACCUGGAGAGGUUCCUAAACUCCUCAUAAAUUAUGCUACAACUCGUGUGUCUGGAGUUUCAGAUCGUUUCAGUGGAAGUGGAUCUGGGACUGAUUUCACUUUAACCAUCAGUGGAAUCCAGAGUGAAGAUACAGGAGAUUAUUACUGUCAGCAGGGUGGUUACAGCUUCCCGUUCACACGGUGAUACAACAUCGUACAAAAACCUCCUUCAGCUGGAGAGGAACUGAUCUGAAUGAGCUGCUCACUGAAACCACAACACAGCUGAAUGUAAUGGUACACAACUUUAUAAUAUAAGACCAGACAGGGAUCAACGUUCAGCACUGAUCUUUGAAACGUGUUAUUGCACCAAUUUCAACCAGCAGAAGAAAAUAUCCUCAUCGUGAUUGAAAUGUCCAGAUUUUCCUUCAUAAAUCAAUCAUCCAUUUCAGGACUGUUUGAGAUAAACAACCAUACAAGAUCCCACUCCUACCUUAUAAUCAAUUUACAUUCAUCAAGUAACCUAACAGGCAUGUUUUUGUAUGAUGGGAGGAAGCCACAAACACAGAGGCAUCAUACAACCUGAAAUUUGAGCCAGAAACCUUUUUUGGUUUGAGGCGACAGUGCUGAUCACCACAUUCAGCUCUGUUAUUUAUUCAGUUACAGCAAAUAUUUUCUUUCUUUCAUUUUACAGAAAAUGGUUGAAGCAGCUAGAUUAAUGAGGCCAGAAUAAAAACAUAAUAUGGACUCAGUGAUUUGACUGCAAGUAGUCAUGUGACCACUCAAGAGAGAUUUUUUUUCUUUAACAAAUCCAUGUACAAAUUCUUAUAAAGAUUUCUUCUAAAUUAUUAAUGAAGAGCAGAAAAUAUUAUCUACAUUUUUCCUAUAAUUUUAGUCUGUAAUUGUUUACAUUUCCAGACUUUUUUUCCAUCCAUCUUUAUUCUGAACCUCCUUCAUCCUGUUCAGAUGUGGCGCUGGGGGUUAAUAAAGAUGUUCCAGCAGUGCCAGGAGGAGAUGAAGGGAACACUCUGGACAAUUCUCCCUCCAUCAUGGGAUUGUUUUUCUUAUUUAAUGAUUUCCUGGAAAUAACUUUACUUGGAAAAAUUCUGAAAUGAAGGCCUGAAAAACACUUUAUUAAUGCCAAAGAUAAAAGUUUUAUAAUUUUGUGGUGUUAUUUUCUUCAUGUCCAUACAUUGGUUCAUGUCUGACUAAUUGAUUGAUCCAAAAUCAUGAUCAGGGUGGAUGUUAUCUCUGUGACAUGAAAAUAUUUUCUUAUUUGUAAGAAGUUACAAUAAUCUGGAUAUUUUUUCUUUUAUCUUUUUUAUUAUCUGUGCAAAUAACCUAUAAAUUAAAAGUAGGAGAAAAGACAAAGAGAAAGAUUUAGAAUCCAGUGUGAUGUUGCAUUAAAUCAGGUCAGUACUGGGAACACUGUU
Molecule: non-coding RNA, 1648 nt
Organism: Melanotaenia boesemani (Boeseman's rainbowfish)
Lineage: Eukaryota; Metazoa; Chordata; Actinopteri; Atheriniformes; Melanotaeniidae
Source: the annotation of a RefSeq genome assembly